RNA transcript from Carassius auratus (goldfish), 2242 nucleotides. It is a transcript of the gene named CD276 antigen, with no coding region annotated. The transcript is spliced from 6 exons. The record is from RefSeq and is a predicted model, not a curated record. Lineage: Eukaryota; Metazoa; Chordata; Actinopteri; Cypriniformes; Cyprinidae.
UGCGCAGUUGACUGGCUGCAAGUAAUACAGUAUAACGAACAGGCUUUACUUUUUAUAUUACAGCUAAAAUGUCAUCAUCUUUUUUCAAAUAACUAUCUGUUUACAUUUAUUUAAAUUCGUGCAUCAUGCUCAAAAGUGUGCUGCUCAUCUGUUUCUUUAUUCUACUUUUGAAUGAAGCGUCUGUCCAGGAAGUAGUAGUUCAGGGUUUUAUCGGAGGUUCUGCAGUUUUGCCGUGCCAUCCUGGGAACAGAAGUCUUGCAGGCAUCAAUGCACACUGGAGAUAUGAUGACAGGAAGAAUGUUUAUGACAUACUAAAUGGCAUAGCGAUGACUAAGGAGCAGGACCCAGAGUACAAGGGCAGAACUGUAACGUUCCCUGCAGAGUAUUCGAAGGGAAACUUCUCCCUCAAGCUCGGGAGUCUUCAGAAAAGUGAUGAAGGGUCGUACUGCUGCUUCAUCCCCGAGCUUGGUCUCAACGAAUGCGUAAAUCUUCAAGUCAAAGAGAAACCAAUAGGAAUCCAAAAGCCAGGCUCUAAUGGUGGAGUUGAAACCACAGCAGGGAGGAUUGUAUCUCUGUUAAUUCCCCUCUUCUCUGUUACUCUUCAGCUCUGAGUAUGAAGCUAUAUAAUGCACACCUCAGCCUCAACUCCCCGGUUGUGCGACACGCACUUGUUUGUGCAUGAGCAAAGCUAUUUUUAGGAGUCUAACUUGAAAACGCCAGACCACUGAUUCGUCAAACUAGUCUAUGUUCUUCCAACUAUUUUAUAGAAUCCUGAAGGUUUGAUAAAACGUGACUUGUAUUGGAUUGUAUUUAGUUAUAAAGACCUCACCUGCUUCAGGCUGAUCCGUUUCAAUGCAGUGUAUGCAGUAGCUUUAUUUAUUUGUUUAUUUAAUAUAAAAUAAUUAUAUUUGUAUUUAAUUUAAUAUUCAAGUUAUUUAAUUUAGUUUAAUAUGUAUAUGUUGAAUUGAUUAAACUAGUUGUGUAACAGUGCUAUGCUACCUGUAAUGCAAAUAAUUUGUGUUUAGAAAAAUAUGUUGUGUUGUUUAUAUAUAUAUAUUUAGUUCUUCUCACAACUGCUUGAGCUUUCUUGAAUAAAUAUAGAUGAUUAUAAUCAUGCGUUCUCUGAAGAAGUUUAAAAAUCUUUUUUUAUUCUCUCGCAGCUUUACUACACUUAUCUGUCCACCAAGGAACCGCUUUCCGUGUCAUUUUUCCCUUACUUUUUGGAAUCGAUUCUGAUGCUGCUUCUAGUAUUACUGCACAUACUUUUUCAUUAAGGAUUUCAAUAUCUUGAUUUGAAUCAAUUGCAGCCAUUUUGUCCUUGCACAAUUCCUCAAAUUUAGCCCAAUUUUCUUUUUCAAAUACCAAUUUUCCUCCUCUUUGAGUUAUAGUUCUAUCUGCCUCUAUAUCUAAUGUUAUUACUAUUGUGUAAUGAUCACUCCCAAUACUAGAUUCCCCCAAAGCAUCCCAAUUACACAUGAACUUCCUUUAAUUUAUCUUAUUCCAAUUUUUUUACAUGGGUUAUAAUAAUUUAUAAUAACUAUCUCCUGUCCUCUACUCCAUAUUCCCAAAACAUUAUAUUCUUGAUCCCUUCCCUUUCCAAGUAUUCUAUAUGAAAUUCUUUUUUAAAUAAAUGUUGCACACCCACCACCAAUCCUUUCUUCCCUAUCUUGCCGUACUAUACUACAUCCCCCUGUAUAACAAAAUCUAAACAAUCAUCCAAGUUUCUUGAACACAUAUUACAUACGGUUUUAUAAUUAAAUCUUCAAUAAAAUGCUUGAACUCCUGUCCAUUUGCUAUCAGAGAUCUUGCAUUCCACUGAAUUAUUGAAAUCAUCUAUAUGCAUUACACAUAUGUUUCUUGACUUGAUCUUAUCUCCAAUUCAUCUCUGACUUCUUCCCAGGUCAAGCCUGUCAUUCCAAGAUGCCAUAUUGCUGCUAUUACAAUUAACUGAGUCUUCUGUGUUUUUGAUUCAAUCCCAGCUGUACUAUUUAUAACUCCUACAAUAAAUGUCACUAUUUUUUUCUUUUCAAUCAUCAUAAAUUCUCCCGGAACUUUGUUUACUUCAAUUGCAACCCCUGACUGACCUCUUUGCUCUUUAGUUUGUCCUUUAACCUGUUUUGCUGCCUCUGCAUAUGUUAGCUUCUUCUCCACCCUUCUUUUCUGAAUAUCAAUUUCCAUUUUCAAUACUUCACACCCCCUGAAUGCUGCACUAUGUGCCUCUCCACAGUUGCAACAUUUUGGU